CAGCCGCCGCGGUAAUACAGAGGGUGCGAGCGUUAAUCGGAUUUACUGGGCGUAAAGCGUGCGUAGGCGGCUUUUUAAGUCGGAUGUGAAAUCCCUGAGCUUAACUUAGGAAUUGCAUUCGAUACUGGGAAGCUAGAGUAUGGGAGAGGAUGGUAGAAUUCCAGGUGUAGCGGUGAAAUGCGUAGAGAUCUGGAGGAAUACCGAUGGCGAAGGCAGCCAUCUGGCCUAAUACUGACGCUGAGGUACGAAAGCAUGGGGAGCAAACAGGAUUAGAGACCCGCGUAGUCCCUGUCUCUUAUAC
RNAcentral lists this ribosomal RNA (301 nucleotides) under uncultured bacterium. RNAcentral's name for it is "partial 16S ribosomal RNA". It matches the Rfam family "Bacterial small subunit ribosomal RNA", at positions 509 to 807 of the family's 1533-position model. The record is from RNAcentral.